UAAAGUUUGAUUCUUGCUUAAAAUUAUUGCUUUAUGUUAAAAAUGUAUAUGGAAACUUCAGUUUAAUUAAAUUUAAAAAAUAAAAUUUUCAAUAUAUAAUAUUAGACAAUUAGUUAUAGCUAGAUCUGGUUAUCAUAAUUUCUCUGGCAAAAUCUUGUGCCAGCCGCCGCGGUUAUACUUUAAGAGAUAGUAAUAAAAAAUUGGUUAUAGUUAACUUUAAUAAAAAAUUAAUCGUGUAGACAAAGGGUGAAAUCAGAUUGUAUAAUGUUAUUAAUUUUAUUACACAC
Molecule: ribosomal RNA, 287 nt
Filed under: Emerita analoga
Lineage: Eukaryota; Metazoa; Arthropoda; Malacostraca; Decapoda; Hippidae
Description: partial 12S ribosomal RNA
Source: RNAcentral